AGCGAACGCUGGCGGCAGGCCUAACACAUGCAAGUCGGGCGGCCGUAGCAAUACGGCAGCGGCAGACGGGAUAGUAACACGUGGGAACGCGCCCUUCGGUUCGGAAUAACUCAGGGAAACUUGAGCUAAUACCGGAUACGCCCUUACGGGGAAAGGAUUUAUUGCCGAAGGAACGGCCCGCCGUCGGAUUAGCUAGUUGGUGAGGUAAUGGCUCACCAAGGCGACGAUCCGUAGCUGGUCUGAGAGGAUGACCAGCAUCACUGGGACUGAGACACGGCCCAGACUCCU
RNAcentral lists this ribosomal RNA (288 nucleotides) under uncultured bacterium. Its description in RNAcentral is "partial 16S ribosomal RNA". It matches the Rfam family "Bacterial small subunit ribosomal RNA", at positions 29 to 340 of the family's 1533-position model. The record is from RNAcentral.